This 253-nucleotide ribosomal RNA is filed under the name uncultured bacterium. RNAcentral's name for it is "partial 16S ribosomal RNA". It matches the Rfam family "Bacterial small subunit ribosomal RNA", at positions 524 to 776 of the family's 1533-position model. The record is from RNAcentral.
UACAGAGGGGGCAAGCGUUAUUCGGAAUUACUGGGCGUAAAGGGCUCGUAGGCGGCCAACUAAGUCAGACGUGAAAUCCCUCGGCUUAACCGGGGAACUGCGUCUGAUACUGGAUGGCUUGAGUUUGGGAGAGGGAUGCGGAAUUCCAGGUGUAGCGGUGAAAUGCGUAGAUAUCUGGAGGAACACCGGUGGCGAAGGCGGCAUCCUGGACCAACACUGACGCUGAGGAGCGAAAGCCAGGGGAGCAAACGGG